AUGGGAACGCGAAGAACCUUACCUAGACUUGACAUCUCCUGAAUAGUGUAGAGAUACAUGAAGCCCUUCGGGCGAGGAAGACAGGUGGUGCAUGGUUGUCGUCAGCUCGUGUCGUGAGAUGUUGGGUUAAGUCCCGCAACGAGCGCAACCCUUAUUACUAGUUGCUACCAUUAAGUUGAGCACUCUAGUGAGACUGCCCGGGUUAACCGGGAGGAAGGCGGGAAUGACGUCAAAUCAUCAUGCCCCUUAUGUCUAGGGCAACACACGUGCUACAAUGGUGAGUACAGAUAGAUGCGAUACCGCAAGGUGGAGCCAAACUCUAAAACUCAUCCCAGUUCGGAUUGUAGGCUGCAACUCGCCUACAUGAAGUUGGAGUUGCUAGUAAUCGCGAAUCAGAAUGUCGCGG
This 406-nucleotide ribosomal RNA is filed under the name uncultured bacterium. Its description in RNAcentral is "bacterial SSU rRNA". It matches the Rfam family "Bacterial small subunit ribosomal RNA", at positions 954 to 1362 of the family's 1533-position model. The record is from RNAcentral.